UCGUAAAUGUAUAUUGACAACUACUGCUU
This 29-nucleotide small RNA is filed under the name Bombyx mori (domestic silkworm). RNAcentral's name for it is "ovarian small RNA-7629". The record is from RNAcentral. Lineage: Eukaryota; Metazoa; Arthropoda; Insecta; Lepidoptera; Bombycidae.